AUUGAACGCUGGCGGCAGGCCUAACACAUGCAAGUCGAACGGUAACAGGAAGAAGCUUGCUUCUUUGCUGACGAGUGGCGGACGGGUGAGUAAUGUCUAGGAAACUGCCUGAUGGAGGGGGAUAACUACUGGAAACGGUAGCUAAUACCGCAUAACGUCGCAAGACCAAAGAGGGGGACCUUCGGGCCUCUUGCCAUCGGAUGUGCCCGGAUGGGAUUAGCUAGUAGGUGGGGUAAAGGCUCACCUAGGCGACGAUCCCUAGCUGGUCUGAGAGGAUGAGCAGCCACACUGGAACUGAGACACGGUCCAGACUCCGACAGGAGGCAGCAGUGGGGAAUAGUGCACAAUGGGCGCAAGCCUGAUGCAGCCAUGCCGCGUGUAUGAAGAAGGCCUUCGGGUUGUAAAGUACUUUCAGCGGGGAGGAAGGGAGUAAAGUUAAUACCUUUGCUCAUUGACGUUACCCGCAGAAGAAGCACCGGCUAACUCCGUGCCAGCAGCCGCGGUAA
This 506-nucleotide ribosomal RNA is filed under the name uncultured bacterium. RNAcentral describes it as "partial 16S ribosomal RNA". It matches the Rfam family "Bacterial small subunit ribosomal RNA", at positions 30 to 523 of the family's 1533-position model. The record is from RNAcentral.